Dunckerocampus dactyliophorus (ringed pipefish) is the source of this 399-nucleotide long non-coding RNA. RefSeq lists it as uncharacterized. The record is from RefSeq and is a predicted model, not a curated record. The transcript has 3 exons. NCBI's taxonomy places the organism in Eukaryota, Metazoa, Chordata, Actinopteri, Syngnathiformes, Syngnathidae.
CUCGCCAACGCCGACAACAGGGUGCCGCCAAGUGAAUCGUGAGGCUGACGCGGGCUCACGGGUUUAGUGAGUCGGGUAGUUGGACAUGUUGCGCACGUGCGAGUUUCUCACGUGACGCAGACGACCCAUUUGAGCGGCGAAUCAUACGUCAACGUCGCCGCCGUAUUGGAUGUGGCAAGAGUGAACGGGGGACGAUACCUGCAUUUCAAGGGAUUACCUUUCACAGAAUUCCUAGAGAGGAAUGCAGUUCCUCGGUUCCAGCAGCUUCAACCAAAACCUUCUCAAGUCAACUGCUGCGGCUGCUGCGAGGGCUGAGCUACCAGAGUGGGCUGGUGAGGGAACGGCUGCCCCACCAGGCUGUAUGCGGCUGGAUAGGUGGCUGCGUAGAGGAGGAACACG